CUACGUGCCAGCAGCCGCGGUAAUACGGAAGGUCCGGGCGUUAUCCGGAUUUAUUGGGUUUAAAGGGAGCGUAGGCUGGAGAUUAAGUGUGUUGUGAAAUGUAGACGCUCAACGUCUGACUUGCAGCGCAUACUGGUUUCCUUGAGUACGCACAACGUUGGCGGAAUYCGUCGUGUAGCGGUGAAAUGCUUAGAUAUGACGAAGAACUCCGAUUGCGAAGGCAGCUGACGGGAGCGCAACUGACGCUGAAGCUCGAAGGUGCGGGUAUCGAACAGGAUUAGAUACCCUGGUAGUCCGCACAGUAAACGAUGGAUGCCCGCUGUUGGUACCUGGUAUCAGCGGCUAAGCGAAAGCAUUAAGCAUCCCACCUGGGGAGUACGCCGGCAACGGUGAAACUCAAAGGAAUUGACGGGGGCCCGCACAAGCGGUGGAGCAUGUGGUUUAAUUCGAAGCAACGCGAAGAACCUUACCAGGUCUUGACAUCCCGAUGCUAUUUCUAGAGAUAGAAAGUUA
This 513-nucleotide ribosomal RNA is filed under the name uncultured bacterium. RNAcentral describes it as "bacterial SSU rRNA". It matches the Rfam family "Bacterial small subunit ribosomal RNA", at positions 501 to 1016 of the family's 1533-position model. The record is from RNAcentral.